UGGGUAAUUUUGCACAAUGGGGGAAACCCUGAUGCAGCGACGCCGCGUGAUUUAGAAGGUUUUCGUGUUGUAAAACUCUUUUCUAUGGGAAGAAAAUGACAGUACCAUAGGAAUAAGGACCGGCUAAUUACGUGCCAGCAGCCGCGGUAAUACGUAAGGUCCGAGCGUUGUCCGGAAUCAUUGGGCGUAAAGGGUACGUAGGCGGGUAAGGAAGUUAGAAGUGAAAUCCUAUAGCUCAACUAUAGGAAGCUUUUACAACUGCUCAUCUUGAGGUAUGGAAGAGAGAGUGGAAUUACUAGUGGAGCGGUGGAAUACGCAGAUGUUAGGGGGAAUACCGGUGGCGAAGACGGCUUUCUGGUCAUAACCUGACGCUGCGGAGCGGAGGCAUGGGGAGGAGAAAGG
This 402-nucleotide ribosomal RNA is filed under the name bacterium. RNAcentral describes it as "partial 16S ribosomal RNA". It matches the Rfam family "Bacterial small subunit ribosomal RNA", at positions 355 to 776 of the family's 1533-position model. The record is from RNAcentral.